Molecule: long non-coding RNA, 1492 nt
Organism: Xyrauchen texanus (razorback sucker)
Lineage: Eukaryota; Metazoa; Chordata; Actinopteri; Cypriniformes; Catostomidae
Exons: 4
Source: RefSeq, a predicted model, not a curated record
GGAAGAAGAAAAAUGUAUAAAUCUGUAUCAAGAUAUAACUAAGUAAAAUUAUACAUAUUUAUGGAUUAAUUUAUAAUUGGCCACUAACUCUGCUUAAAUACAAUUUUUGACUCGAAACUAGCAAGGGGAUGGAUGAAGACGUAACUCGUCUCAUAAUGAGCAGGAUGGACAAUGGGCAUCUCUUCUCUGGGCGCAGGAACGCAGCCCAAUUUGGAUGGAGAGCUAAGGAAGCCACCCACCCUCCUCAUGGACUGCACCAGAUAUGCCAGUUCUUACUGUGAUAGGUUACCCUACACUUCCUCCAAGGCACUUGCAAGUUCCCGGACAUUUCUGGGGGGAAUGGCCCUAGCCCUCAUCCUCUGAUUUAACAGGACCCAGACGUGCUCAAUGGGAUUGAGAUCCGGGCUCUUCGCUGGCCAUGGCAGAACACUGAUAUUCCUGUCUUGCAAGAAAUCAGGCACAGAACGAGCAGUAUGGCUGGUGGCAUUGUCAUGCGGGAGGGUCAUAUCAGGAUGAGCCUGCAGGAAGGGUAACACAUGAGGGAGGAGGAGGUCUUUCCUGUAAUGCACAGCAUUGAGAUUGCCUGGAAUGACAACAAGCUCAGUCCGAUGAUGCUGUGACACACUGCCCCAGACCAUGAUGGACCCUCCACCUCCAAAUCGAUCCCGCUUUAGAGUACAGGCCUAAGCGUAACACUCAUUCCUUCGACAAUAGUGAAGGUGGGUUUACUCAUUCCUUCACAAUAGUGAAGGUGGGUUUGUGCCCAUAGGCGACGUUGUUUCCAGUGAUGUGUGGUUAGGACCUGCCUUACAACAGGCCUACAAGUCCUCAAUCCAGACCCUCUCUGCCUAUUGUGGACAGUCUGUGGACUGAUGGAGGGAUUGUGCAUUCCUGGUGCAUCUGAGGCUGUUGUUGUUGCCAUCCUGUACCUGUCCCCCAGGUGUGAUAUUCGGAUGUACCGAUCCUGUACGUAGUCUGCCACUGCGAGGAUGAUCAGUUGUCCUUCCUGUCUCCCUGUAGUGCUGUCUUAGGUGACUCACAGUACAGACAUUGCAAUUUAUUGCCCUGGCCACAUCUGCAGUCCUCAUGCCUCCAUGCAGCAUGCCUAAGGCACAUUCACGCAGAUGAGCAGGGACCCUGGGCAUCUUUCUUUUGGUGUUUUUCAGAGUCAGUUUAAAGGUAUCUUUAGUCUCCUAAGUUUUUAUAACUGUGUCCUUAAUUGCCUACUGUCUGUAAGCUGUUAGUGUCUUAACGGCCGUUCCACAGGUGCAUGCUCAUUAAUUGUUUAUGUUUCAUUGAACAAGCAUGGAAAACAUUGUUUAAACCCUUUGCAAUAAAGAUCUGAAACGUUACUUUUAUUUUUACUAAAUUAUCUUUAAAAUAGUGUCCUGAAAAAGGGACAUGUCUUUUUUUUUGCUGAGUUAAUAUAUAUAUAUAUAUUAUAGUGUAAGGUAAUGUGUGAUGGUCAAAUGUGUUAAAUGUAUAAACCAUU